AUGAGCAAGGCCCUUUGUCCCAAGUUCCUAGGCUUGUCCACCUAUGAGAAAGAGUACUCGCUUGUCAUUAUCACCGUGGACCAGUGGCGCCCUUACCUGCAACACAGCGAGUUUUGUCUUCAAACAGAUCAAUGGAGUUUGGUGCACUUGGAGGAACAAAGACUCACCACACCGUGGCAACAGAAGGCGUUCACCAAAUUAUUGGGGCUGUGGUACACAAUUUGUUACAAGAAAGACUCGAAAAAUGGCACGGCUGACGCCCUCUCGUGUGCCACACAUUCAGAACAGAUUGCGGCUAUCUCGCUGUGCAAACCUGCCUGGCUUGAGGACAUUGUCUCAAGCUAUAAUGUCAAUCCACAUGAGCAGUGCCUGCUGGAACAACUGGCCAUAAAACCUGACAGUAAGGGGUGGCUCACUCUCGAGAAAGGCAUUCGUCGCUUUCGAGGCUGCAUCUGGUUGGGUGGUUCCACAGUGUUGAGUAUCAUGAUUAUUUAG
RNAcentral lists this ribosomal RNA (495 nucleotides) under Triticum aestivum (bread wheat). RNAcentral's name for it is "partial small subunit ribosomal RNA". Lineage: Eukaryota; Viridiplantae; Streptophyta; Magnoliopsida; Poales; Poaceae. The record is from RNAcentral.